AUUGAACGCUGGCGGCAGGCCUAACACAUGCAAGUCGAGCGAGCGGCGGACGGGUGAGUAAUGUCUGGGAAAAUGCCUGAUGGAGGGGGAUAACUACUGGAAACGGUAGCUAAUACCGCAUACCAUCAGAUGUGCCCAGAUGGGAUUAGCUAGUAGGUGGGGUGACGGCUCACCUAGGCGACGAGCCCUAGCUGGUCUGCGAGUAUGACCAGCCACACUGGAACGGUGACACGGUCCGAACUCCUAGGGGAGGCAGGAGUGGGGAAUAUUGCGCAAUGGGCGCAUGCCUGAUGCAGCCAUGCCGCGUGUGUGAAGAGGGCCUGCGGGUUUUAAAGCACUUUCAUCGGUGAGGCGUUACCCGCAGAAGAAGCACCGGCUAACUCCGUGCCAGCAGCCGCGGUAAUUC
This 406-nucleotide ribosomal RNA is filed under the name uncultured bacterium. RNAcentral's name for it is "partial 16S ribosomal RNA". It matches the Rfam family "Bacterial small subunit ribosomal RNA", at positions 30 to 526 of the family's 1533-position model. The record is from RNAcentral.